CCUACGGGAGGCUGCAGUGAGGAAUAUUGGUCAAUGGCCGAGAGGCUGAACCAGCCAAGUCGCGUGCGGGAUGACGGCCCUACGGGUUGUAAACCUCUUUUGUCGGGGGAUAAAACGAGCCACGUGUGGUUCUUUGUGAGUACCCGAUGAAAAAGGAUCGGCUAAUUCCGUGCCAGCAGCCGCGGUAAUACGGAGGGUGCGGGCGUUAUCCGGAUUUAUUGGGUUUAAAGGGUGCGGAGGCGGAGGUGUAAGUCAGCGGUGAAAUGCCGGGGCUCAACCCCGUACUGCCGUUGAAACUGCAUCCCUUGAGUGCGCGAGAGGUAUGCGGAAUGCGUGGUGUAGCGGUGAAAUGCAUAGAUAUCACGCAGAACUCCGAUUGCGAAGGCAGCAUACGGGCGCGCAACUGACGCUGAAGCACGAAGGCGUGGGUAUCGAACAGGAUUAGAUACCCCUGUAGUC
This 459-nucleotide ribosomal RNA is filed under the name uncultured bacterium. RNAcentral describes it as "partial 16S ribosomal RNA". It matches the Rfam family "Bacterial small subunit ribosomal RNA", at positions 338 to 795 of the family's 1533-position model. The record is from RNAcentral.